RNAcentral lists this ribosomal RNA (492 nucleotides) under uncultured bacterium. RNAcentral's name for it is "partial 16S ribosomal RNA". It matches the Rfam family "Bacterial small subunit ribosomal RNA", at positions 29 to 507 of the family's 1533-position model. The record is from RNAcentral.
AGUGAACGCUGGCGGUAGGCCUAACACAUGCAAGUCGAACGGCAGCACAGUAAUAGCUUGCUCUUACGGGUGGCGAGUGGCGGACGGGUGAGGAAUACAUCGGAAUCUACUUUUUCGUGGGGGAUAACGUAGGGAAACUUACGCUAAUACCGCAUACGACCUACGGGUGAAAGCAGGGGAUCUUCUGACCUUGCGCGAUUGAAUGAGCCGAUGUCGGAUUAGCUAGUUGGCGGGGUAAAGGCCCACCAAGGCGACGAUCCGUAGCUGGUCUGAGAGGAUGAUCAGCCACACUGGAACUGAGACACGGUCCAGACUCCUACGGGAGGCAGCAGUGGGGAAUAUUGGACAAUGGGCGCAAGCCUGAUCCAGCCAUACCGCGUGGGUGAAGAAGGCCUUCGGGUUGUAAAGCCCUUUUGUUGGGAAAGAAAAGCAGCAGGUUAAUACCCCGCUGUUCUGACGGUACCCAAAGAAUAAGCACCGGCUAACUUCGUG